AGAUGGCUUGAUGGCGAUUGAGUAGAUAAGUUAUCAAUUAAAUAAUUCAAUCAAGAUGACUCACUUUAAGCGUGAAAGACCGCUGACAAAAGAGUCCGCACCGCUCUACGAAUUGCUAAAGGGCGAGGGCGAAAGUAGGUAAAGUGACACCACAGGACCUUCAAAACGGGCUAUGCUAAGUAGCCCAUAGCUAAGUCCUAUAUAAGUAUAGGAUACGCUAAAAACGUGGCGAGAUGGGCUGAUACACACGAUGAGGACACGAACAGAGACCGAAAGGAAAGCAAGUAGGGCGUGCAGACGCUUGUAGAAAGUUCGGAUCAGGAUUGAAAUAUCUUGAUAGUUAGCAAUUCC
This 351-nucleotide non-coding RNA is filed under the name unclassified sequences. RNAcentral's name for it is "GEBRO RNA". It matches the Rfam family "GEBRO RNA". The record is from Rfam by way of RNAcentral.